CCUACGGGAGGCAGCAGUAGGGAAUCUUUCACAAUGGGCGAAAGCCUGAUGGAGCAACGCCGCGUGCAGGAUGAAGGCCUUCGGGUUGUAAACUGCUUUUAUAAGCGAGAAAUAUGAUGGUAACUUAUGAAUAAGGAUCGGCUAACUACGUGCCAGCUGCCGCGGUCAUACGUAGGAUCCGAGCAUUAUCCGGAGUGACUGGGUGUAAAGAGUUGCGUAGGUGGGAUAAUAAGUAGCUAGUGAAAUCUGGUGGCUCAACCAUUCAGACUAUUAGCUAAACUGUUAAGCUCGAGACCGUUAGGGGUAAGUGGAAUUUCUAGUGUAGGAGUGAAAUCCGUAGAUAUUAGAAGGAACACCAAUGGCGUAGGCAGGUUGCUGGGACGGUUCUGACACUAAGGCACGAAAGCGUAGGGAGCAAACGGGAUUAGAUACCCCAGUAGUC
This 442-nucleotide ribosomal RNA is filed under the name uncultured bacterium. Its description in RNAcentral is "partial 16S ribosomal RNA". It matches the Rfam family "Bacterial small subunit ribosomal RNA", at positions 338 to 795 of the family's 1533-position model. The record is from RNAcentral.